UGUGUUCCCUGAACCUUGGACUUCCCAGCCUCCAAAACGAUUUUCAGGCCUGAAUGGCUGGACUUGAUUUUUGACAGGCCAGUCAGGGGGACUGUUCCUGUCUUCUGGCUGAUCACGCCGGACCUGGGGCCACCUCUGCGCCUUCGGCUCAGCUCAGCCGCUGUCUCAUCUGCUUGGCUCGGCGUCUUUGCAUCUGACUGCACUCUUUAUGGCCAUCCUGGAGCUUGAACUUGUUUGAUGAUUGAGGCCUUGCUGCAUGUGCGAAAUUUACGGUAAAGGUUGGCAAGGCAGACACUCAUAUGCAUCAUGGGAGUGUACCCUGCAACCACCUUUCCAGAAAACACACUGGUAAUAUAUAUCAAGAGCUUUAAAAUGCCCAUAUGCUUUGUCCCAGUAAUUACAUUUUUCUCAUUUGCUUAUU
Molecule: long non-coding RNA, 421 nt
Organism: Galeopterus variegatus (Sunda flying lemur)
Lineage: Eukaryota; Metazoa; Chordata; Mammalia; Dermoptera; Cynocephalidae
Exons: 2
Source: RefSeq, a predicted model, not a curated record